AACGCACAUUGCGCCCGAUAGUAUUCUGUCGGGCAUGCCUGUUCGAGCGUCGUUUCAACCCUCAGGCCCAGCCUGGUGUUGGGGUCUCUGGAAGAAAUUCCGGUACCCUGAAAUGGAGUGGCGGGCCCAGUCGUAACCCGAGCGCAGUAAUUUCUCUCGCUCAGGGGCGCGGCCGGCGCCUUGCCUUCUGAAAUAUUUUUUUCUUGGUUGACCUCGGAUCAGGUAGGAAUACCCGCUGAACUUAA
Molecule: unclassified non-coding RNA, 245 nt
Filed under: uncultured fungus
Lineage: Eukaryota; Fungi
Description: partial contains 5.8S ribosomal RNA, internal transcribed spacer 2, and large subunit ribosomal RNA
Source: RNAcentral